This 119-nucleotide ribosomal RNA is filed under the name Gossypium raimondii (Peruvian cotton). The record is from RNAcentral. Lineage: Eukaryota; Viridiplantae; Streptophyta; Magnoliopsida; Malvales; Malvaceae.
GGGUGCGAUCAUACCAGCACUAAUGCACCGGAUCCCAUCAGAACUCCACAGCUAAGCGUGCCUGGGCGAGAGUAGUACUAGGAUGGGUGACCUCUUGGGAAGUCCUUGUGUUGCACCCC